AACUUUCGGCAAUGGAUCACUUGGCUCUCGCAUCGAUGAAGAACGCAGCGAAAUGCGAUACGUAAUGUGAAUUGCAGAAUACAGUGAAUCAUCGAAUCUUUGAACGCAUAUUGCGCUCUUUGGUAUUCCGAAGAGCAUGCUUGUUUGAGUAUCAGUAAACACCUCAACCUCCUCUUGAUUUUUCAAAAGGAGGGUGGACUUGAGCUAUCCCAACAACCUUUACCGGUAGGCGGGCGGCUUGAAAUGCAGGUGCAGCUGGACUUUUAUCUGAGCUAAAAGCAUAUCUAUUUAGUCCUCGUCAAACAGGAUUAUUACUAUUGCUGCAGCUAACAUAAAGGAUAAUUGUCCUCAUUGCUGACUGAUGCAGGAUUUUACGACACUUUAUGUGUUGUUCAACUCGAUCUCAAAUCAAGUAAGACUACCCGCUGAACUUAAGCAUAUCAAUAAGCGGAGGCU
RNAcentral lists this unclassified non-coding RNA (456 nucleotides) under uncultured Mortierella. Its description in RNAcentral is "sequence contains ITS2". The stretch from base 1 to 154 matches the Rfam family "5.8S ribosomal RNA". The record is from RNAcentral. Lineage: Eukaryota; Fungi; Mortierellomycota; Mortierellomycetes; Mortierellales; Mortierellaceae.